GACGAACGCUGGCGGUGUGCUUAACACAUGCAAGUCGAACGGAAAGGCCCUGCUUUUGUGGGGUGCUCGAGUGGCGAACGGGUGAGUAACACGUGAGUAACCUGCCCUUGACUUUGGGAUAACUUCAGGAAACUGGGGCUAAUACCGGAUAGGAGCUCCUGCUGCAUGGUGGGGGUUGGAAAGUUUCGGCGGUUGGGGAUGGACUCGCGGCUUAUCAGCUUGUUGGUGGGGUAGUGGCUUACCAAGGCUUUGACGGGUAGCCGGCCUGAGAGGGUGACCGGCCACAUUGGGACUGAGAUACGGCCCAGACUCCUACGGGAGGCAGCAGUGGGGAAUAUUGCACAAUGGGCGGAAGCCUGAUGCAGCAACGCCGCGUGCGGGAUGACGGCCUUCGGGUUGUAAACCGCUUUCGCCUGUGACGAAGCGUGAGUGACGGUAAUGGGUAAAGAAGCACCGGCUAACUACGUGCCAGCAGCCGCGGUGAUACGUAGGGUGCGAGCGUUGUCCGGAUUUAUUGGGCGUAAAGGGCUCGUAGGUGGUUGAUCGCGUCGGAAGUGUAAUCUUGGGGCUUAACCCUGAGCGUGCUUUCGAUACGGGUUGACUUGAGGAAGGUAGGGGAGAAUGGAAUUCCUGGUGGAGCGGUGGAAUGCGCAGAUAUCAGGAGGAACACCAGUGGCGAAGGCGGUUCUCUGGGCCUUUCCUGACGCUGAGGAGCGAAAGCGUGGGGAGCGAACAGGCUUAGAUACCCUGGUAGUCCACGCUGUAAACGGUGGGUACUAGGUGUGGGGUCCAUUCCACGGGUUCCGUGCCGUAGCUAACGCUUUAAGUACCCCGCCUGGGGAGUACGGCCGCAAGGCUAAAACUCAAAGGAAUCGACGGGGCCCCGCACAAGCGGCGGAGCAUGCGGAUUAAUUCGAUGCAACGCGUAGAACCUUACCUGGGUUUGACAUGGAUCGGGAGUGCUCAGAGAUGGGUGUGCCUCUUUUGGGGUCGGUUCACAGGUGGUGCAUGGCUGUCGUCAGCUCGUGUCGUGAGAUGUUGGGUUAAGUCCCGCAACGAGCGCAACCCUUGUUCACUGUUGCCAGCACGUUAUGGUGGGGACUCAGUGGAGACCGCCGGGGUCAACUCGGAGGAAGGUGGGGAUGACGUCAAGUCAUCAUGCCCCUUAUGUCCAGGGCUUCACGCAUGCUACAAUGGCUGGUACAGAGAGUGGCGAGCCUGUGAGGGUGAGCGAAUCUCGGAAAGCCGGUCUCAGUUCGGAUUGGGGUCUGCAACUCGACCUCAUGAAGUCGGAGUCGCUAGUAAUCGCAGAUCAGCAACGCUGCGGUGAAUACGUUCCCGGGGCU
RNAcentral lists this ribosomal RNA (1346 nucleotides) under uncultured bacterium. RNAcentral's name for it is "partial 16S ribosomal RNA". It matches the Rfam family "Bacterial small subunit ribosomal RNA", at positions 28 to 1381 of the family's 1533-position model. The record is from RNAcentral.